GGAGAUUUAAACCCAGGUUAUUCCGAAAAGGCGUAGGCGUAAAGAGAAUUUAUACAAGCUUACUAGGAACUGACGAACUUUCAUUUAUUAGAACAUGAAAGUAAAUUGAAUGCGGGCUAAAACAGCUGCCAGAUGAAAGCCUUCAUCCCAAUCCCCGCUGACGUUCCACAUUUUAUCACCAAUAUUUAACUCCAUCUAAUAUGUACACUCGUGUAAAUAAGUACAGCGUGAUUACGCCAAACUAUGUGUGCAUAAUCAUGCGAGUUCUGCUGCAAUCUAGAUGCAUUUUACAGCAAUGCAGUAACAAUUGUAUGAUGUUUGGAUUUUUUUUUAGUUCUGGUGUUAGGAAAAUCGUUCUUUCUUUGUUGGAGGUAGACACAGGACCAUGCGAUUUGGCAUUAAAAUGAACAAUAUUAUUCAGGAAAAAUCUAAGCUGAAUCUGGAAAAAUAACUUAAUUUUUUAUGCAACAAGAAAUAAUUUAUUUUCACAAAAAUAUGUUAUUAUUUAAUUAUAUAUAUUUCUAUGCAUCUAAAAAUGCAUACAUCCUAUUUUGUAUAAUCAAAAUAUAAGGUGAUUUUUAAAAAUAAAAUUAUGUACAUCAUGUGUUGUCAUUAUUUUUUCUAUGAUAUACAUUUUUUUUUAAAUUGUGGCUUUAUAUUUGCAUUUGAAUAAAAUAUUCUUUUAAAAAUAUU
Long non-coding RNA from Saccostrea cuccullata (small rock oyster), 693 nucleotides. RefSeq lists it as uncharacterized. Lineage: Eukaryota; Metazoa; Mollusca; Bivalvia; Ostreida; Ostreidae. The record is from RefSeq and is a predicted model, not a curated record. The transcript is spliced from 3 exons.